GGAGGGAGGGGGAGAGAGAGACAGAGAGAGACAGAGAGACAGAGACAGAGAGAGACAGACAGACAGAGAGAGAGAGAGAGAGAGAGAGAGAGAGAGAGAGAGAAUGAAUAGGGGGCCACAGAGACCAGGUAGAUUACCAUUCCAUUUUGCAAAUGGCAAGAUGGAGUCCCUCUCCUGUAAGCAUCUUAUGUGUACACACCUGUUACCUUUCCUGUCCUGACUGACACAUAUCUUUCCAAGCCAACACUGUAGUUUUCUGCCUUGGACCUGCCUGUCUUCCUACAUUCUCCCGAGCAUGUCCUUGAGUCGGGAGGACCACAGGCUCCCCACUGCCCUCUUGCCCUUGCUCUUCCUGCUGCCUCUGGCCAGCUCUAGCGUGGACACUGGUUAGGGCAGAAAGGUCAGGAGAAGCCAAACCCUGGGGCACACAAGCCAGGCAUUUAGGGUUUCAGUCUAUAUCUACCAAGCGUGGGAAGCAGAGCCUGUAUAUAGCCUUACCGGUGCUGAUGCCCGUCUGUGCAAAGUUAAUUUUGAUUCUUCUAUGGCAGGGGGUGGGGAUCUGUCUCUUAAGCCAAGUGAUGCCUCUUACAGUCAAAGCUUGCCGGGUGGUGGGGUAGAGAUUUGCUAUUCUCUAUCCUCAGCUGCCCCGUGGGACCCUAGACAUUCCAGAAAAGAAGGGAAGGGAGAGGGCUCCCCAAGAAUGUCCAGCUGAUAGGGGGCCCUGGCAACCCCUGACUUCCUUUCCUUUCUCCCUCCCCCUCUUCACCGGAAGUGUCUGGAUCCUUUGAGAUCCGGGUACUUAUCGUCGCAGGAGGCAAACACAGGGUUGGCUCUGCUGCAGCCAAGGUGAUGAAGACACAGGGCCCACGCAGAAAAGCGGGAGGUGCCGAAGGAGGAGGACACUUGAGGGAUAAGCAGGACGAUGGUGCCUCUCCAUACAUCAAAGGUGGCCAGGGAUUCAGGCCUUGGCUGCCCCUACUCAGUCUGCCCGGGCAUCUAGAGCAUUCAGACUGCUGCAUAAGGCCCUGGAAGUUUGGGUGACAGUGAUGUGUGGUGUUGAUGGUGCAGAAGGGAGAAGCAGGCUCACAUAUCUGAGGGAAGACGGUUUGAAUCUAUUUCUCUUACUGGUCAACCGACUCUCCAAUCUCUUCCUGUUUCUAAUUUCAAAACACAUCACAAGCAUCAUAAAAGCCCUAUCUGUCUGAAGUGCACCCAGGCUGUCUGUCUCCUCCAGACAAGGAUACUGUAAGCCUAAGAGGAGAGUGAGCUGCCUGGCUGGCUGCCCAGGUCAAGGCGGAAUCCAGCCCCAGAGGGUAGUGAGGAGGGUCCAAUGUGGCUGGGGAGGACUGAUGGUCCCCUCGCCAAGCCAGGCCUGCUGAGCCGUGAGGAGCCAGGCAGCAGGCUGUGUGCCUUCUUGCCUUUCCAGAUGGUUCUGCCGUCACCCAGAUAGCGUCUUAUAA
RNAcentral lists this long non-coding RNA (1460 nucleotides) under Mus spicilegus (steppe mouse). RNAcentral's name for it is "lncRNA (ENSMSIG00000010923.1)". The record is from RNAcentral. Lineage: Eukaryota; Metazoa; Chordata; Mammalia; Rodentia; Muridae.